GAUGAACGCUGGCGGCGUGCCUAACACAUGCAAGUCGAGCGGACGGACGAGAAGCUUGCUUCUCUGAUGUUAGCGGCGGACGGGUGAGUAACACGUGGAUAACCUACCUAUCAGACUGGGAUAACUUCGGGAAACCGGAGCUAAUACCGGAUAAUAUUUUGAACCGCAUGGUUCAAAAGUGAAAGACGGUCUGCUGGGAUGUAUUCGCGGAUCCGCGCCGUAUUAGCUAGUUGGUUAGGUAACGGCUUACCAAGGGAACGAUGCCUAGCCGACCUGAGAGGGUGAUCGGCCACACUGGAACUGAGACACGGUCCAGACUCCUACGGGAGGCAGCAGUAGGGAAUCUUCCGCAAUGGGCGAAAGCCUGACGGAGCAACGCCGCGUGAGUGAUGAAGGUCUUCGGAUCGUAAAACUCUGUUAUUAGGGAAGAACAUAUGUGUAAGUAACUGUGCACAUCUUGACGGUACCUAAUCAGAAAGCCACGGCUAACUACGUG
RNAcentral lists this ribosomal RNA (496 nucleotides) under uncultured bacterium. Its description in RNAcentral is "partial 16S ribosomal RNA". It matches the Rfam family "Bacterial small subunit ribosomal RNA", at positions 28 to 507 of the family's 1533-position model. The record is from RNAcentral.